RNAcentral lists this ribosomal RNA (459 nucleotides) under uncultured bacterium. Its description in RNAcentral is "partial 16S ribosomal RNA". It matches the Rfam family "Bacterial small subunit ribosomal RNA", at positions 338 to 795 of the family's 1533-position model. The record is from RNAcentral.
CCUACGGGUGGCAGCAGUGAGGAAUAUUGGUCAAUGGGCGCGAGCCUGAACCAGCCAAGUCGCGUGAGGGAAGACGGUCCUCUGGAUUGUAAACCUCUUUUGUCGGGGAGCAAAAGACGCCACGUGUGGCGUUCCGAGAGUACCCGAAGAAAAAGCAUCGGCUAACUCCGUGCCAGCAGUCGCGGUAAUACGGGGGAUGCGAGCGUUAUCCGGAUUUAUUGGGUUUAACGGGUGCGCAGGCGGAAGAUCAAGUCAGCGGGAAAAUUGAGAGGCUCAACCUCUUCGAGCCGUUGAAACUGGUUUUCUGGAGUGAGCGAGAAGUAUGCGGAAUGCGUGGUGUAGCGGUGAAAUGCAUAGAUAUCACGCAGAACUCCGAUUGCGAAGGCAGCAUACCGGCGCUCAACUGACGCUCAUGCACGAAAGUGUGGGUAUCGAACAGGAUUAGAUACCCGGGUAGUC